Molecule: long non-coding RNA, 1532 nt
Organism: Nerophis ophidion (straightnose pipefish)
Lineage: Eukaryota; Metazoa; Chordata; Actinopteri; Syngnathiformes; Syngnathidae
Exons: 7
Source: RefSeq, a predicted model, not a curated record
UCAUCUUGGAAGUUAUACAGCUCACGUAUCACACUUAAUAUUGAAUAUAUAUAAAAAGGGUUUUCCAAAAGGACCAUUUAUAAUCGAAAUACAAAACUUCACACACGAUUUUGAGCACAACAGAGCGCUCAGUGAACAUCACUUCCGGGACCUGCAUCACCGGAGGGGGACAUCUAUCUUGGUCACAAACCAUCUUUGACAGUCUUCGGCAGCAUGGUUGAAUCAGGUGAGCAUAAAAUGGAGUUUAACGUAAUUAAAUAGACCAAUGUUUUUUAACAUAGGAAAAUAGUUCAUUGUAAACAACAGUUAAAUGUUUGUUGUUAUUAAUUGCAAUCAGAUUUGAUUUUAUGAGGUCAAAUUAAGCAUUUCAGUUCUGGGCCAAGGCCAAGGCAUUUAAUUUUUUUUUUUAAAGUUGCAUGGAAGAUUAUAAGUAGCAGUGAUUGUCACACACACACAAGGUGUGGUGAAAUUAUUCUCUGCAUUUGACCCAUCACCCUUGAUCACUAUGCUAGUAAACCUUUUCUUAAUUUUAAACAAGACAGACUAGAGUUCUUCAAAUUGUUUAUACUUUUUCUCAAAUACAAAUAUGUCAAGCUGAUAAGCACUGUGGAGUUGGCAUGUUACUGAUAUUGUUACAUUAGUUCUUUGUUUGAGAAGCUUCAUGUCUGCACUGAUCCUAAAUUUAACAGUUUUUGAAGGGUUUGGUUCUUUGUUUUAUUUCUGUGUCACUGACUUUUUUCAUUUUUAUGUGUGGAUUUGUUAGGCGCAUCAACACAUGAUAUAGACAUCGUGCCCAAAAGAAGAGCGAGACGUAAUCCUGAGGCUGAAGCUACCGAGUUUUUUUGAUCUGGAUGUGACAAGUCUUGUUUUAAGGCCCAGUGGAUCAAUGAUUGGAAAGACACCAACUGUUGAUGUUCUAUCUCAACAUUCUCUAGAUUCAUGUGACCGAUAAACCGACUUCAUCCCUCCAACAGACACCAACUGUUGGGGUUCUAUCUCAACAUUCUCCAGAUUCAGAUGUGAGCGAUAAACCGACUUCAUCCCUCCAACAGAAACCAACUGUUGAGGUUCCAUCUCAACAUUCUCCAGAUUCAGAUGUGAGCCAUUAACUGACUUCAUCCCUCCAACAGAAACCAACUGUUGAGGUUCUAUCUCAACAUUCUCUAGAUUCAGAUGACAGCCAUAAACCGACUUCAUCCCUCCAACAGAUUGACAGCAGGACAAAUCGCUGGAAGUGGGUAUGUCUCAAGCUUCUUCCACUUGGUCCACUCCAAAGCGGGCUGCAAAGGGGAAGAAGUGGAAGCAGUUGAAUGACACAUGUUGCAUUUUGUAACUGGCAACAAAGUACCAGGUAAAAAAGAUUGUGAAGCCUGCCUCCAUAAAGAACUAGUAGCUCUACAGGACAGAGAUUGGCUUGCCAUCAAGUACUACAUCCAUAACAGAAUUAUAUUAAAAAAAGGGGAAAAAAAUGUUUUCCCACAUCUUCUGUGGUAGUUUGAGUAUGUUACCAGCAAUUAAAAAAGCAAAAUAAA